UUAUAAAAAUUUAAAAUUAAUUACUUAAAAAUUAAUAGUUAAGUUCUUUAAAUUUAAGAGAUUUGGCGGUAUUUUAGUCUUAUUAGAGGAACCUGUAAUUUUAUUGAUAAUCCACGAUUAAUUUUACUUAUUUUAAAAAUUCAUAUAUCGCUGUCAUGAAUAUAUUUAAAAAUUUAUUUUCUUUAAUUACUUUAAUGAUUUAUGUUAAGUCAAGAUGUGGUUUAUAAAUAAGUUAAUUAUGGGUUACAAUAAAUUUAAUUUUUGGAUUUAAAAUGAAAAUAAUUGAUGAAAUUGGAUUUAAUAGUAAUUUUAAUUAUUUAAUUAAUAUGAAUAAAGAUCUGAAAUAUGUACAUAUUGCCCGUCAUUCUUAUUAAAAAUAAGACAAGUCGUAACAAAGUAAGUGUACUGGAAAGUGUACUUAGAAAAAAAAU
Molecule: ribosomal RNA, 431 nt
Filed under: Nipponaphis loochooensis
Lineage: Eukaryota; Metazoa; Arthropoda; Insecta; Hemiptera; Hormaphididae
Description: partial small subunit ribosomal RNA
Source: RNAcentral